Long non-coding RNA from Pungitius pungitius (ninespine stickleback), 1374 nucleotides. RefSeq lists it as uncharacterized. The transcript is spliced from 4 exons. Lineage: Eukaryota; Metazoa; Chordata; Actinopteri; Perciformes; Gasterosteidae. The record is from RefSeq and is a predicted model, not a curated record.
GCGUCGUUCACAACCUUUUGCAUUGAUUUGCUUUUUUUGCAAUCUACUUGCCUGGAAAAUUUGCUUCCCUUUCGGAAAGCGGCCUGCUUGAUCUGAUCCCAACUGGUGCUUUGUUUUUGGACUCAUGUGAUUUUCAUUGGUCAAAACAAAUACCAUGCACAGGGCUGUUCAUAAGUGUAUAUACGUGGAGGAUUCUAAAAGGUACUCAGAUAGCAGUCAACUCCGGGGCGGAUCCGCUCUUACACGGCUUGAAAAGAGUUUUGAAUGAGACGACGAGCCGAUCAACCUUGAGGCAAAUGUUUGUUUGGUGACUGAUUUGAAGGACGAAAGAGUGGACAGGGCUGUCAAAAAUGCAGAGGAACCUGGCCCUGACUUGAAGAUGUUUGACAGCAGAGUUAUAUCAUACGGUUAUUAUUUGGAGGCGAGACAAAGGAUGACAAAAUAAAUGCACAUCCAGUCUACAUUAGGAAGAGGCAAUUCCUAUGAAGAGAAAGCCAAUGCAUAUACUUUUUUCAUCACAGUCCUUCAGUGUUAUAUUGUGACUAUUUUUCUAAACCCCUUUAUAGCCAUUUCAUUCGGGACUCUGAUGAUGACAGCGAGAAGGAAAAUCCUCUCAAAAAAGCCAGAGGUCCAAUCACCAGUGACACAGCCUUCAACCUUUCCCCUCCACCUCCCAAAGGUCCGACCACUAGCGAGACAGUGGCCCCUCCUCCAUCUUUUCCACGUACUCCCUCACUUCGACAUCUGGACAGUGGAAGAUCAGCAGAAGAAACACCUUCAACAAGAUUCCCUUCCUGGCAACCAUCAGAGGACAUGACACAAAACGGGUUAGCUGAUUGGAAGCACAUCGUCCUGUCCUCUGUAAUAAGAAGAUCCUUUGAGUGCCUUAUCCUGUCUCCCCUGAAACCUUUACCGGUCCCCUCCUGGACACAGUGCUGUUAGCCUACAGAGUCGAAAGGGCUGUAGACGACGCUGUCAACUUGGGCCUUCAUUUCAUUCUCCAGCAUCUGGACUCGCCAGGAACCUGCGCCACCAUUUUGUUUGUUGACUUCAACUCUGCAUUCAACACCAUCAUCUUGUCUAUACUGCAUGACAAACUCUCCUGGCUGUGCAUGCCCAACUCCACCUGCAAGUGGAUCAUUGACUUUGUCUCUGGCAGAAAGCAGGGUGUGAGACUGGGAAAGUGUCCAUCAGCACCAGUUCUGCCCAAGGCUGCGUUUUUUUCCCCUUUACAAUACUCUGUGUACACCUACACCUCCGGUCACCAGCCCGUCAAGCUCCUAAAGUUUGCAGAUUACAACACCUCAUUGGCCACCCCUCGUCACUCAAUAAAUGGCUUCUGAUUUUCAAGUUCAAUAGUCUUCAAAACCCUCG